UACGUAGGGUGCGAGCGUUGUCCGGAAUCAUUGGGCGUAAAGCGCGUGUAGGCGGUUCAGUAAGUCCGCUCUGAAAGCCCAGGGCUCAACCCUGGGAGGCGGGUGGAUACUACUGAACUAGAGUACGGAAGAGGAGAUUGGAAUUCCUGGUGUAGCGGUGAAAUGCGCAGAUAUCAGGAGGAACACCAACAGCGAAGGCAAAUCUCUGGGACGUAACUGACGCUGAGACGCGAAAGCGUGGGGGGCAAACAGG
RNAcentral lists this ribosomal RNA (253 nucleotides) under uncultured bacterium. Its description in RNAcentral is "partial 16S ribosomal RNA". It matches the Rfam family "Bacterial small subunit ribosomal RNA", at positions 524 to 776 of the family's 1533-position model. The record is from RNAcentral.